RNAcentral lists this small RNA (642 nucleotides) under Arabidopsis thaliana (thale cress). RNAcentral describes it as "ATSL099580". The record is from RNAcentral. Lineage: Eukaryota; Viridiplantae; Streptophyta; Magnoliopsida; Brassicales; Brassicaceae.
AUGAAGAAGCAAGAGAUGCCAGUGCAUCGACUGAAGCUAAUGGCAGCGAGUCAGAAGAAACUUAUGAGCCUUCUGAUGGAGACACAGCUCACGUACCUGACACAAGUGUACGUACAUUUUUGUCACUAUGUUCUGUGUACAUAUAUAUUGUUUCAUACAUUACUAAAAAGUUUCUUUCCGAUGCUAAAUUCUACAGGUUGAGGCGGCAGGAGAAUCGAAAUUAGUGACAGUGAUGGAAGUUGAAAUACCUGAGAAGACCCACAGUGAUGUCACCAUUUCAAGUAGUUAACAAUGUAAGCUAACUCUUGCAACAAAUAAAAUGUACUAUUUACUGUUCAAAUGUAUAAAAUUUAUAUUAUGCAGGUCAUACGGGAGUUGGAUACCAAAGCCGUUGGUGAUUUGGCUGCAGCCACUGAUUUGGAGGUAACAAUUUGUGUGUUUCAAUUCCUAUUUUCGGAAUAGCAUACAUAGGAUUAUAUGUGUACAUUAUAUAUACUUGUGUACGUUAACUUGCACAGGUAGUCAUGGAAGAGCCGUGUAUUGUCGAGGGGUCUGUAGAAACUGAGGAUCCUAACCCAGGGUCAGAUGAAGCAGACAAGACCGAUAUUCCUAAAAAUAAUGUAUGUACCUAUUUUAAACAUA